This 685-nucleotide ribosomal RNA is filed under the name Arthrobacter sp. RNAcentral describes it as "bacterial SSU rRNA". It matches the Rfam family "Bacterial small subunit ribosomal RNA", at positions 56 to 753 of the family's 1533-position model. The record is from RNAcentral. Lineage: Bacteria; Bacillati; Actinomycetota; Actinomycetes; Micrococcales; Micrococcaceae. RNAcentral also lists the same sequence under 1 other name.
UGCAAGUCGAACGAUGAUCCGGUGCUUGCACCGGGGAUUAGUGGCGAACGGGUGAGUAACACGUGAGUAACCUGCCCUUAACUCUGGGAUAAGCCUGGGAAACUGGGUCUAAUACCGGAUAUGACUGAUCAUCGCAUGGUGGUUGGUGGAAAGCUUUUUGUGGUUUUGGAUGGACUCCCGGCCUAUCAGCUUGUUGGUGAGGUAAUGGCUUACCAAGGCGACCACCGGUAGCCGGCCUGAGAGGGUGACCGGCCACACUGGGACUGAAACACGGCCCAGACUCCUACGGGAGGCAGCAGUGGGGAAUAUUGCACAAUGGGCGCAAGCCUGAUGCAGCGACCCCGCGUGAGGGAUGACGGCCUUCGGGUUGUAAACCUCUUUCAGUAGGGAAGAAGCGAAAGUGACGGUACCUGCAGAAGAAGCGCCGGCUAACUACGUGCCAGCAGCCGCGGUAAUACGUAGGGCGCAAGCGUUAUCCGGAAUUAUUGGGCGUAAAGAGCUCGUAGGCGGUUUGUCGCGUCUGCCGUGAAAGUCCGGGGCUCAACUCCGGAUCUGCGGUGGGUACGGGCAGACUAGAGUGAUGUAGGGGAGACUGGAAUUCCUGGUGUAGCGGUGAAAUGCGCAGAUAUCAGGAGGAACACCGAUGGCGAAGGCAGGUCUCUGGGCAUUAACUGACGCUGAAGAA